RNAcentral lists this ribosomal RNA (688 nucleotides) under Klebsiella planticola. RNAcentral's name for it is "Raoultella planticola partial 16S rRNA". The record is from RNAcentral. Lineage: Bacteria; Pseudomonadati; Pseudomonadota; Gammaproteobacteria; Enterobacterales; Enterobacteriaceae.
GUCAGUCUUUGUCCAGGGGGCCGCCUUCGCCACCGGUAUUCCUCCAGAUCUCUACGCAUUUCACCGCUACACCUGGAAUUCUACCCCCCUCUACAAGACUCAAGCUUGCCAGUUUCAAAUGCAGUUCCCAGGUUGAGCCCGGGGAUUUCACAUCUGACUUAACAAACCGCCUGCGUGCGCUUUACGCCCAGUAAUUCCGAUUAACGCUUGCACCCUCCGUAUUACCGCGGCUGCUGGCACGGAGUUAGCCGGUGCUUCUUCUGCGAGUAACGUCAAUCGCUAAGGUUAUUAACCUUAACGCCUUCCUCCUCGCUGAAAGUACUUUACAACCCGAAGGCCUUCUUCAUACACGCGGCAUGGCUGCAUCAGGCUUGCGCCCAUUGUGCAAUAUUCCCCACUGCUGCCUCCCGUAGGAGUCUGGACCGUGUCUCAGUUCCAGUGUGGCUGGUCAUCCUCUCAGACCAGCUAGGGAUCGUCGCCUAGGUGAGCCAUUACCCCACCUACUAGCUAAUCCCAUCUGGGCACAUCUGAUGGCAUGAGGCCCGAAGGUCCCCCACUUUGGUCUUGCGACGUUAUGCGGUAUUAGCUACCGUUUCCAGUAGUUAUCCCCCUCCAUCAGGCAGUUUCCCAGACAUUACUCACCCGUCCGCCGCUCGUCACCCGAGAGCAAGCUCUCUGUGCUACCGCU